GAUGAACGCUGGCGACGUGCCUAAUACAUGCAAGUCGAACGAAACUUCUUUAUCACCGAGUGCUUGCACUCACCGAUAAAGAGUUGAGUGGCGAACGGGUGAGUAACACGUGGGCAACCUGCCCGAAAGAGGGGGAUAACACUUGGAAACAGGUGCUAAUACCGCAUAACCAUGAACACCGCAUGGCGUUUAUGUGAAAGGUGGUUUCGGCUACCGCUUUCGGAUGGGCCCGCGGGGCAUUGGCUAGUUGGUGGGGUAAAGGCUUACCAAGGAAAUGAUGCGUAGCCGAACUGAGAGGUUGAUCGGCCACAUUGGGACUGAGACACGGCCCAAGCUCCUACGGGAGGCAGCAGUAGGGAAUCUUCCACAAUGGGCGAAAGCCUGAUGGAGCAACGCCGCGUGGGUGAAGAAGGUCUUCGGAUCGUAAAACCCUGUUGCCAGAGAAGAAAGUGCAUGAGAGUAACUGUUCAUGUUUCGACGGUAUCUGACCAGAAAGCCACGGCUAACUACGUGCCAGCCGCCGCCGUAA
Molecule: ribosomal RNA, 529 nt
Filed under: uncultured bacterium
Lineage: Bacteria
Description: partial 16S ribosomal RNA
Rfam family: Bacterial small subunit ribosomal RNA
Source: RNAcentral